GAUGAACGCUGGCUACAGGCUUAACACAUGCAAGUCGAGGGGAAACGACGGGGAAGCUUGCUUCCCCGGGCGUCGACCGGCGCACGGGUGAGUAACGCGUAUCCAACCUGCCUCUGACUGAGGGAUAACCCGUCGAAAGUCGGCCUAAUACCUCAUGGCAUCGUCUGCGGGCAUCCAACGACAAUUAAAGAUUUCAUCGGUCAGAGAUGGGGAUGCGUCUGAUUAGCUUGUUGGCGGGGUAACGGCCCACCAAGGCGACGAUCAGUAGGGGUUCUGAGAGGAAGGUCCCCCACAUUGGAACUGGGACACCGUCCAAACUCCUACGGGAGGCAGCAGUGAGGAAUAUUGGUCAAUGGGCGAGAGCCUGAUCCAGCCAAGUAGCGUGCAGGAUGACGGCCCUAUGGGUGGUAAACUGCUUUUAUGCGGGGAUAAAGUGAGGGACGUGUCCUUCAUUGCAGGUACCGCAUGAAUAAGGACCGGCUAAUUCCGUG
This 491-nucleotide ribosomal RNA is filed under the name uncultured bacterium. Its description in RNAcentral is "partial 16S ribosomal RNA". It matches the Rfam family "Bacterial small subunit ribosomal RNA", at positions 28 to 507 of the family's 1533-position model. The record is from RNAcentral.